Molecule: ribosomal RNA, 223 nt
Filed under: uncultured bacterium
Lineage: Bacteria
Description: partial 16S ribosomal RNA
Rfam family: Bacterial small subunit ribosomal RNA
Source: RNAcentral
GACGAACGCUGGCGGCGUGCUUAACACAUGCAAGUCGAGCGGUAAGGCCCUUUCGGGGGUACGACGAGCGGCGAACGGGUAGAGUAACACGUGGGUGACCUGCCCUCAGCUCUGGGAUAAGCCUGGGAAACCGGGUCUAAUACUGGAUAUGACUCCAUGACGCAUGUUGUGGGGUGGAAAGCCUUGUGCGGCUGAGGAUGGGCCCGCGGCCUAUCAGCUUGUU